GAAGCGAAGCCGCGAGGUAGAGCAAAUCUCAAAAAGACAUCUCAGUUCAGAUUGCAGGCUGCAACUCGCCUGCAUGAAGUCGGAAUUGCUAGUAAUCGUAGGUCAGCAUACUACGGUGAAUACGUUCCCGGGCCUUGUACACACCGCCCGUCAAACCAUGAGAGUUGGCAACACCCGAAGUCGGUAGUCUAACCGCAAGGAGGACGCCGCCGAAGGUGGGGUUGAUGAUUAGGGUUAAGUCGUAACAAGGUACC
RNAcentral lists this ribosomal RNA (254 nucleotides) under uncultured bacterium. RNAcentral describes it as "partial 16S ribosomal RNA". It matches the Rfam family "Bacterial small subunit ribosomal RNA", at positions 1246 to 1500 of the family's 1533-position model. The record is from RNAcentral.